GACAGAGGGUGCAAACGUUGUUCGGAAUUACUGGGCGUAAAGCGAGUGUAGGCGGUUUUGUAAGUCGGGUGUGAAAGCCCUGGGCUCAACCCAGGAAGUGCACUCGAAACUGCAAGGCUAGAGUAUCGGAGAGGUUGGUGGAAUUCUCGGUGUAGAGGUGAAAUUCGUAGAUAUCGAGAGGAACACCGGUGGCGAAGGCGGCCAACUGGACGAAUACUGACGCUGAGACUCGAAAGCGUGGGGAGCAAACAGG
RNAcentral lists this ribosomal RNA (253 nucleotides) under uncultured bacterium. RNAcentral's name for it is "partial 16S ribosomal RNA". It matches the Rfam family "Bacterial small subunit ribosomal RNA", at positions 524 to 776 of the family's 1533-position model. The record is from RNAcentral.